CCUACGGGUGGCAGCAGUGGGGAAUAUUGGACAAUGGGCGAAAGCCUGAUCCAGCCAUGCCGCGUGUGUGAAGAAGGCCUUCGGGUUGUAAAGCACUUUCAGUGGGGAAGAAAGCCUUGGGGCUAAUACCCUCGAGGAAGGACAUCACCCACAGAAGAAGCACCGGCUAACUCCGUGCCAGCAGCCGCGGUAAUAAGGAGGGUGCGAGCGUUAAUCGGAAUUACUGGGCGUAAAGCGCGCGUAGGCGGUCUGAUAAGCCGGUUGUGAAAGCCCCGGGCUCAACCUGGGAACGGCAUCCGGAACUGUCAGGCUAGAGUGCAGGAGAGGAAGGUAGAAUUCCCGGUGUAGCGGUGAAAUGCGUAGAGAUCGGGAGGAAUACCAGUGGCGAAGGCGGCCUUCUGGACUGACACUGACGCUGAGGUGCGAAAGCGUGGGUAGCAAACAGGAUUAGAUACCCCUGUAGUC
Molecule: ribosomal RNA, 465 nt
Filed under: Vreelandella stevensii
Lineage: Bacteria; Pseudomonadati; Pseudomonadota; Gammaproteobacteria; Oceanospirillales; Halomonadaceae
Description: partial 16S ribosomal RNA
Rfam family: Bacterial small subunit ribosomal RNA
Source: RNAcentral